CAAGUCGAGGGGCAGCAUGAACUUAGCUUGCUAAGUUUGAUGGCGACCGGCGCACGGGUGAGUAACACGUAUCCAACCUGCCCUUUACUCGGGGAUAGCCUUUCGAAAGAAAGAUUAAUACCCGAUAGCAUAAUGAUUCCGCAUGGUUUCAUUAUUAAAGGAUUCCGGUAAAGGAUGGGGAUGCGUUCCAUUAGAUAGUAGGCGGGGUAACGGCCCACCUAGUCUUCGAUGGAUAGGGGUUCUGAGAGGAAGGCCCCCACAAUGGGACUGAGACACGGCCCAUACUCC
This 288-nucleotide ribosomal RNA is filed under the name uncultured Bacteroides sp. RNAcentral's name for it is "partial 16S ribosomal RNA". It matches the Rfam family "Bacterial small subunit ribosomal RNA", at positions 58 to 339 of the family's 1533-position model. Lineage: Bacteria; Pseudomonadati; Bacteroidota; Bacteroidia; Bacteroidales; Bacteroidaceae. The record is from RNAcentral.